This 520-nucleotide ribosomal RNA is filed under the name uncultured Glomeromycotina. Its description in RNAcentral is "SSU rRNA". It matches the Rfam family "Eukaryotic small subunit ribosomal RNA", at positions 569 to 1096 of the family's 1831-position model. The record is from RNAcentral. Lineage: Eukaryota; Fungi; Glomeromycota.
AGCAGCCGCGGUAAUUCCAGCUCCAAUAGCGUAUAUUAAAGUUGUUGCAGUUAAAAAGCUCGUAGUUGAAUUUCGGGGUCAGUAGGUUGGUCGUGCCACUGGUAUGUACUGGCUUCACUGAUUCCUCCCUCUUGUAGAACCGUAAUGCCAUUAAUUUGGUGUUGCGGGGAAACAGGACUGUUACUUUGAAAAAUUAGAGUGUUUAAAGCAGGCUAACGCUUGAAUACAUUAGCAUGGAAUAAUGAAAUAGGACGUUUGAUCCUAUUUUGUGGUUUCUAGGAUUGACGUAAUGAUUAAUAGGGAUAGUUGGGGGCAUUAGUAUUCAAUUGUCAGAGGUGAAAUUCUUGGAUUUAUUGAAGACUAACUACUGCGAAAGCAUUUGCCAAGGAUGUUUUCAUUAAUCAAGAACGAAAGUUAGGGGAUCGAAGACGAUCAGAUACCGUCGUAGUCUUAACCAUAAACUAUGCCGACUAGGGAUCGGAUGAUGUUAAUUUUAAUGACUCAUUCGCGCUUACGGGAA